GGAUGCGAUCAUACCAGCACUAAAGCACCGGAUCCCAUUAGAACUCCGAAGUUAAGCGUGCUUGGGCGCGAGUAGUACUAGGAUGGGUGACCUCCUGGGAAGUCCUCGUGUUGCAUUCC
RNAcentral lists this ribosomal RNA (119 nucleotides) under Triticum aestivum (bread wheat). The record is from RNAcentral. Lineage: Eukaryota; Viridiplantae; Streptophyta; Magnoliopsida; Poales; Poaceae.